Long non-coding RNA from Pogona vitticeps (central bearded dragon), 324 nucleotides. RefSeq lists it as uncharacterized. Lineage: Eukaryota; Metazoa; Chordata; Lepidosauria; Squamata; Agamidae. The record is from RefSeq and is a predicted model, not a curated record.
UUUUCUGAGCAUGCUCAGAAGGGUCUCUGAGGCCUGGAAAGAGGAAGGAGGCCUUUCUCCUCAACCCUGGCUCCCUCCCCUUCCAAGGUUUUCCUCAGAAGAGGCAUUUAUUUCAACCCUCAAGGAUGUGUUUUAAAAAAGAAAGAAAAAAAUACAUUUGGCUCCCUGAGGUAGCCAGCAAAUAGCCAGAAAUUCAGAGGAGAGAGAGACUCUGCACUUUUUAGCUGAAUCAGCCCAGAUUACCUCAACAGUCGGCCUUUUGAGAGACAAGAUGAAAGGGGGAAAUGGUGGAAAAAUCUGCAACGAAAAGGGGACAGCAAAGUC